RNAcentral lists this ribosomal RNA (484 nucleotides) under uncultured bacterium. RNAcentral's name for it is "partial 16S ribosomal RNA". It matches the Rfam family "Bacterial small subunit ribosomal RNA", at positions 29 to 523 of the family's 1533-position model. The record is from RNAcentral.
AGUGAACGCUGGCGGCGUGCUUAACACAUGCAAGUAGAACGAGAACGGGAUAUAGCUUGCUAUAUUUAUCAGCUAAGUGGCGCACGGGUGAGUACUGUAUAGGUAAUAUGCCUCUUACUAAGGGAUAACAAUAGGAAACGAUUGCUAAUACCUUAUAUGCCUUUAAGAGUAAAGUCUGCAAGGGAAAGAUUUAUUGGUAAGAGAUUAGCCUGUAUUGUAUCAGCUAGUUGGUGAGGUAAUGGCUGACCAAGGCUAUGACGCAUAACUGGUUUGAGAGGAUGAUCAGUCACACUGGAACUGAGACACGGUCCAGACUCCUACGGGAGGCAGCAGUGAGGAAUAUUGCACAAUGGACGAAAGUCUGAUGCAGCAACGCCGCGUGGAGGAUGACACAUUUCGGUGCGUAAACUCCUUUUAUAUAGGAAGAUAAUGACGGUACUAUAUGAAUAAGCACCGGCUAACUCCGUGCCAGCCGCCGCGGUAA